GAGAGGCAGGCAGGCGAGCAGGCGCCCCCCCCAGGGCAGGACGGAACGGCCACUAACGGCUUCCCAGAAUUCAAAAAUUCAAAAUGGCAGCAGUUGCUGGGUGUGCCUGGAAGGGCCGGGGGGGGGCGGUGGUGCCCCUCCCAGGAGCCGCCCCUGGCUCUGAAGGGAGCCCAGCCAGUUUCCGCCGAGCGGCCUGCCCGCAGGGGGAGCGCGUGUCCAGGAGGGGGCUGGGACCCCCAUCUCUGCUUUUGGAAAGGGCCCGAUCCUGGGAGGAGGGUCCGGAGCGGCCUGCAGAAGUCGGUCCCUGCCUGGAGAGCUCCUGGGGGCGGCUGGCUGGCUCAGCCUGGAUUUUCUACUUCACUUUACUCGCAAAUAAACAAGCCAGCAACAGCCACAACAAAGCCUCCUCCCUUUGGGGGACACACACACAGAGACCCAAUCCUGAACAAGAGUUUUGGUGAUCUGAGCUGUUCUUACCCAACAGACUCCAAGGGACUGAACGGAGGCAAGCGACACAGAAGUCCAGGCAAUCGGCACCUCCAGGUGAGCCGGGAAUAAGGGAGGAGAGCUGGCCUUGGGGCAGCCAGCGAGAAGGCUUCCCUUUGCUGAGCAGGGUCUGUCCUGGUUUGCAUUUGGGUGGGAGACCGCAGGUAAGGGACUCCCCUGAGGGGAUGGGGCCGCUCAGGGAAGAGCACCUUCCUGCUUGCAUGCAGAAGGUCCCAAGUUCCCUCCCCGGCAGCAUCUCCAGACAGGGCUGAGAAGCUGCCUGAAACCUUGGAGAAGCUGCUGCCAGUCUGUGCAGACAAUCCUGAGCCAGCUGGACCAAGGGUCUGACUCGGUAGAAGGCCGCUUCCUCUGGUCCUAAACUGAAAACUGUUUUCUGAAAGUAGCUUGCUCCAGGGCAGGGGUGGUGGGCAAACGUGGCCCUGCAGCUGUUGCCGGACUACAAUUCCCAUCACCCCCAGCCACAGUUUAAUGUGGGAACUGACAGAAACGAUUUCAGUUGACAACCAAGUUUAUGAACAAGCUCAACUCUGCACAUGCUCGGGAACCGUGGACAUACUGGCCUGCUUUGUGAGUUUCUCUUUCCGCUUUUGAGAAUGUAAGAACAGGCCCCAAGAGGCCCUUCUAGGCCGGCAUCCUGCUCCCCACAGUGCCCCCCCCCGGCAAGAGGGGAGGACCUGCCUUCUCUCCUGCUGCUGCUGCUGCUGGCCUGAGCCUGGCAUUCACAGGCGUCUCUUGCUGCUGAGUGGGAGCGCUCAGUGGUUUGCAGAGGUUAAUCGGGCCUGCGGUUGUUUUCCCGCCUUGUAAACAGUCCUAUAGUCGGCUUUCCAGCAACCACCAGAGCUGCACAGCAGCAACACAUCGAGGAACCUGCCCCUAGCAGGCCUCCCCAUUCUGGGGGAGAAGGAGGGGAAGGCGGACUCUUGUGACUCUCUAGCUUGGAGGACUCACUGGAGCAACUGCUGGGGGGGGGGAGGCUCUCCGAAAAAGGGGGAAAGCCCGGGAAAUUCAAAUCCCAGGGACCAAUCCAGAGGACCGGGUGGGGAUUUCUGGCCCAGCCGCCUCCUGGAGAGGAGGAGAAAGCUUGGGUCUCUGGGCGUCCGUCUGUCCCGGAAGGCCCACAGGAAGCAGCGAGCCGAGCUGAGAUGGUGGGAAGGCCUGUGUGGAAUACGUUCGGACCAAGUCAGGGAAGUGCUUUUUCUGGACGGAUGGCUGGGAAUCUGCACGGCCAGAUUCAACAGAGGCAGCUGUGACCAUUGGGCCCCUGGGGAAGAGAGCUGGCCUUAUGGGAACAAGCAUGGAUGGUCCCCUUUGCUAAGCAGGGUCCUCCUUGGUUUGCAUUUGGAUGGGAGACGAUGACAUGUGUGAGCACUGGAAGACGUUCCCCUGAGGGGAUGGGGCCAGAGUUCAGGGGAAGAGCACCUUCCUUCAAGCAGAAGAUCUCCAUGGACUCCCUGGCAUCUCCAGGUAGGACUGGGAGAGACCCCUGCCUGCGAAAUCCCACCUCUUCUGCCUGUCAGGAGGAGGUCAGUCCAGCAAGAACCCUGGCUCUUUGAAAGGCAGUCCCCACCCAAUGCCAGUGGGAUCAAGCAAUGCAAAUUUAAUACGAAGCAAACAACAAGACGCACCAAAGCUCCUAACCUCAAGACGAGGAACAGAUCCCUGCACUGCUGCACAGGCAGAAAGGAGAAGGAGGAGAAAGAAUCCCAAGUCACCGUGUCCCCAGAGAGGAGACGAGCUGUUCAAGCCGAAAGGAGCCUGGCUGGACCCGGCUGCGGAGUGUGGGGAGAGGUGGAGAAGGCAGAACAGUGGGCUGUUUUCCAGCCGCCCCCCCCCCGGCCCCACAAUCCCCUGCAACUGGGGCACCUCCUCACCUCCAGCAUCCUGAGCUGGGGUCUCCUCCGAUGGCUCUGGCUCGGUGCUCCCUCCAACCAGCGAGGGAGUGGGGCAGAUGGUGAGGGAGGAGAUGGUUCUCUGGGGACUCCGGCUCUGAGGAUGUCCUCGUAGACUGUCUGGGCCCCCAGGCGCCCCACAGUGGCUCCAUCUCCGAGGCUCCCACCAGCUCCAGCCCGGGGUCAGCAUGUGAGGCCAGACUGGGCUCCAGGCCUGCCUCCUCGGAGCCCCCACCUGUGGGGGUCACAGGGGCUCUGGGCUAUUCCUAGAGUCAGCCCCAACAUUCAAAGUCCUUACUCGUAGGGUCCUAAGAAGAGACCCUAUGGUUGGGGGAGAAGACCAGAGACUUAAUGAGAGAGCGGCUUCGUUUGGGGAAGAGGCAGAGGGCCCUCCCCAUCCCGGGGAAAUGGAGGCGGCUUCCAGGCUGGAAUUCCCAAAAGGGAGCAGAAGAAAUGGCUUCACCCACCUGAGCUGGGCCACAAGGGGGCAUCAGUCGUCCUCGUCUGUUCGGGAGAGAAGACAAGAGAAUUAACGAGAGCCCGGCUGGGUUUGGGAAAGGGGCAGAGGGCCCUGCCCGUCCCCGGGAAAUGGAGGCGGCUUCCGGGCUGGAAUCCCCAAAGGGAGCAAGAGGAACGGCUUCCCCAGCUGCGGUGGGGCCAGAAGGCCUUCCUCAGGGAGCGCCAUGUUCGCCCUGGGGCAGGAUGGGGAAGCCAAGGCACUUGCUCUGGGGAGGGCACUGGGAGGGAAGAGAGGCGGAGGAGCAGGUGGGCUCCUCGGAGACCCCCGGCGGGCCCAGAGGGGGAGCCGCCCAGGCCCAGAGCAGGGAGGGAGCUCUGCCUGCCCCAUUCCUUGGGGGUGGAUUUUACCUUCACUCGAAGUGUCCCCCCCGUCUCCCUUGGCACGGGCCGUUGUCCGCCCCACCCGGCGGAUGGCCAGGGGCAGAAGAGGCUUGAUGACCUCCGCCUGCAGAGAGAGGGAGGAAAGAAGGCCCGUCAGAGCUCGACUGGGGACCCCGGAACCUGGAAGAGGGCGCUGGGGGAUGCCGGAGCCAGGCCAGGCCAGCGUGGGGGAGACUGACCUCAAAAUGGAAGGGGGGCCCAAUCGCCAGGUUUAAUAGAAACAGGCCCGCCUUCUCUGCCGCCACCACUUCUCGCUGGUCCACCGAAUAGGUGACCAGAUCGAUGGCCUGUAGGAGAAAAGGAACUGGGUGGGUCCCACCAAGUAUGCCCAAAGACCCCCAGAGAGCCCUCCACCCCUCAACCCCCGAAAAGGUGAUGCUUUGAAAGGAGGCGUGGACUCUGGGAAAGGAUCAAGUCGAGGGAUGGUGGAAGAAGGCAAGAGCUCCCAACCCCACGGAAUAAAGAGAUGAGAGAAGGAUCCCCUCCCUGUGGCUGGAAGAGGCCCCCCUCUCCCCCGCUUACCUCCGCCAUUCAAAUGAGGUGGGUCAUGGAGGGCUUCUGGGCCAGCAGCUCCCUCAGGAGGGCCUGGAGGGCCUUUUCGGGGGGGCAGGGAGAAAGGGGGCCAGAGUGUGGCUGCUGGUGGCCAGAGGGGUCUCCUGGCCCCUCCUCAGGGAGGAAAAAGGCUCCUCGGGGCCUCCCAAGAGCCCUGUCCUUUCCGCUCAUGGUGGCCAUGGGGGCUCAAGGUGCCUGUCUCCAUGGGGGGGUGGCUUUUCAGGCCCCCCUACUGAGGUAGCACAGGCCCAGCCAGAGUCUUUGCCUAGGUGGGCAGAUGGGGGGGGGUAUCUGUAAAUAUAUACCUCCCGGUCUUCCUCUGGACCUUCUCCAAGCAUGUGGCUGAUCCAGAAGAGGGACUCCAUGGUCAGUUUCCUUUCCGUAUACCUCCCCCUUCAGGGCUCCGGCCGGCCCCCCUGCCCCACACGCCCCGGCUGCCAGCCAGCCACUCACCAGCACGUCCUGGGCUGCCCACUCCUUGCUGAAAGGGAGCCGAUCCUCCCUCCUCCGGAGCGCCUCCAGGCAGGCCUGGCGGAUGGCCCUGAGGAAGCCAAGCUGGGCUGCCCUCUGGUCCUGGAAGGGGCAAGCAUGGGGGGCAGGAGUCAGUAGGGCAGGAUCCCCACCCCCCGCUGCUCCGGGCUGCCCAAGUGGGGCUCCCUCCCUUCCCUGCUCUUCCUCCGGGGUUGGGCCUGACUCCUCCGCUGCAACCAGGCCUCAACCAGCUGGCAGGGGGUUCAAUCUGCAGAAGGGGGGAGAAGGAGAGGGCGAGGAGGCAGGAGAGGGAGCAGGCUGUCCUUCCAGCUGCCCCCCCUCCCCACACCUCCUUGCCCCGCCUGCCUAGCCCCGCCAUCCCCUGGGAACUGGGGCAGCCCCUCCCCUCCAUCAUCCUGUGCAGGGGGCUCCGAUGGCCCGUCUGUGGGCCUCCCUCCCCUGGCCACUCAGCGAAGGGAGCUUGAAUCCUGGAGUGCCAGGAGGGAGCUCAAUGACUCCCUGGAGACACACCCAACCCUAGCCCAGAAGGGCAGGGCAGGGGGCCCCAGCUGCUGACCCCCACUGGGCCAGGGGAUCCCCUCCCAUUGGCUGGAAGAGGCCCCCCUCCCCCACUUACCUCCGUCAUGCGGAUCAGAUGGGCCAGGGAGGGCUUCUGGGCCAGCAGCUCCCUCAGGAGGGCCUGGAGAGCUUUUUCGGGGGGCAGGAACGGGCUCUGCAAGGGAGGGAGGGAGGGAGGAAGGGGGCCAGAGUGUGGCUGCUGGUGGCCAGAGGGGUCUCCCGGCCCCGCCUCUGUCCUUCCGCUCAGGGGGGCUUCAGCCACCAAGCAGGCCCCCCACCGAGGGAGCACUGGCCUUUGCCGGGGGGGGCAGGGGGGGAGCGAAGGAGCCCCGUCCCUCUCUACCUGCAGAUCUCCCUGUGGAGCUUCGCCCAGGACGCGGCCCAUACUGGAGAGGGACCCCCUGAUCACCCUCUCCUCUCUGUCCCAGGAGAAGCAAGGCUUCACACGCCCCCCCGGCUGCCAGCCAGCCCCUCACUCACCAGCACGUCCUGGGCUGCCCACUCCUUGCUGAAAGGGAGCCGAUCCUCCCCCCUCUGGCGCGCCUCCAGGCAGGCCUGGCGGAUGGCCCUGAGGAAGCCGAGCUGGGCUGCCCUCCGGUCCUGGAAGGGGCAAGCAUGUGGGGCAGGAGUCAGUAGGGCAGGAUCCCCCCCCACUUAGGCAGGCCCCCUUCGCAGAGAGGCUGCUGCCUUCAUCCUGCCCCUUUUCAGGACCCUGGACAAGGCUCCGGGCUGCCCAAGGGAAGUCCUGGAGGAUGGGGGUUCUGUAGGCAACAGAGAGCAAGAUGAAGACCCCCCAGGGCCCCUGGGGGGCUUCCCUCCUGCUGCCCCAGAUCCUCCCACCUCCCUCUCUGGGCUGGCUCUCUCUCAAGGGCCGCCUCCACCCCACUCACCCCCAUCCAGGCCUCUUCCCCCACCAGCCAACCGCUUUCCCCCAGAUGUCCCUGCCCAAAUCACUCACCAGCACGGCCUGGGCUGCCAGCCCUUUGGAGAAGGGAAGGUGUCAGGACAGGCCUGGAUAAGGGUCAUCCGGUCCUGAGAGAGGAAACACAAGUAGGCAUCAAGUAGGCAUCCCUGGCAUGCGGUGGGGGGCACUCUACUUGGUCUCCUGGCCAGGAAGGCUCGGAUCCUGCCCUGCCUAGAAGAGAAUGGGGAGACUGAGACUGAUGCCCUUGGGCAGAAUGGUUGGCGGAGAGCCUUCUCUCCAAGGAAAGGUUAACCCUUUCAUUACCUUCACUUGAAGAAUCAGCCCCAUCUCCCUUGGCCCGGGCCGUCGUCCUUCCGACCCGGCGAAUCGCCAGGGGCAGCAGAGGUUUGAUCAAACACAAGGAAAGGCUAACCCUCCAGGGCUCUUGAGUUUAGAAAAGACUCAAGAAGGGAGUGGGUCCUGGAGAAGGGGGGGCCGUGGGACAGGGCCUUCUCUGUGGCUGCCCCAGGGCUUUGGAAUGGGCUCCCUGUCCAUAGAGGAGCCCCUGCAUCUCUGGCUGCCUUUUAAAAAACCACUCAAGACACACCUGUUUUCUUAGGCAUUUUGCUAAAACUAUUUUUAAGAGUGUUUCUUUUAACUGUUUUUAAAAUGUGGUUUUAAAAUUGGUUGAAUUGGUUUUGUGGUUUUAAGUUGUGUACCCUGCCUUGAGAUAUUAAGCAGUUUAUAAAUGAAAUGAAAUAAAACAAUACUUACAUGA
Hemicordylus capensis (graceful crag lizard) is the source of this 6580-nucleotide long non-coding RNA. RefSeq lists it as uncharacterized. Lineage: Eukaryota; Metazoa; Chordata; Lepidosauria; Squamata; Cordylidae. The transcript is spliced from 3 exons. The record is from RefSeq and is a predicted model, not a curated record.